AUUGAACGCUGGCGGCAUGCUUUACACAUGCAAGUCGAACGGCAGCGCGGGCUUCGGCCUGGCGGCGAGUGGCGAACGGGUGAGUAAUACAUCGGAACGUGCCCAGUAGUGGGGGAUAGCUCGGCGAAAGCCGGAUUAAUACCGCAUACGACCUGAGGGUGAAAGCGGGGGAUCUUCGGACCUCGCGCUAUUGGAGCGGCCGAUGGCAGAUUAGCUAGUUGGUGGGGUAAAGGCCUACCAAGGCGACGAUCUGUAGCUGGUCUGAGAGGACGACCAGCCACACUGGGACUGAGACACGGCCCAGGCUCCUACGGGAGGCAGCAGUGGGGAAUUUUGGACAAUGGGCGAAAGCCUGAUCCAGCAAUGCCGCGUGUGUGACGAAGGCCUUCGGGUUGUAAAGCACUUUUGGCGGGAACGAAAAGGACUGUGCCAAUACCACGGUUCGAUGACGGUACCCGCAGAAUAAGCACCGGCUAACUACGUG
RNAcentral lists this ribosomal RNA (484 nucleotides) under uncultured bacterium. RNAcentral describes it as "partial 16S ribosomal RNA". It matches the Rfam family "Bacterial small subunit ribosomal RNA", at positions 29 to 507 of the family's 1533-position model. The record is from RNAcentral.